RNAcentral lists this ribosomal RNA (1978 nucleotides) under human gut metagenome. RNAcentral's name for it is "bacterial LSU rRNA". It matches the Rfam family "Bacterial large subunit ribosomal RNA", at positions 1 to 1979 of the family's 2925-position model. The record is from RNAcentral.
UAAAAUAAUUAAGGGCACACAAAGGAUGCCUAGGUAGUAAGAGCCGAUGAAGGACGUGGUAAGCUGCGAUAAGCCUAGAUAAGUUGCAAUCGAACGUAAGAGUCUAGGAUUUCCGAAUGGAGCAAUCUAUUAAGAUGGAGUCUUAAUACGAAAGAGGGAACCGCGUGAACUGAAACAUCUAAGUAACGCGAGGAAAAGAAAGUAAAAACGAUACCCGAAGUAGCGGCGAGCGAAACGGGUCAAGCCUAAACCUUAAAUAUGUCAAGGAUACAGCCGUUGUAUUUAAGGGGUUGUGGGACAGAGUGAUGAAGAACUGUAAGAUAUUCAAUAUAGUGUAUUGAUGAAUUAGAAUUGUCUGGAAAGGUGAACCGCAGAAGGUGAAAGUCCUGUAUAAGUAAAUCCUUACACAUAUAACUUUGCUCCCAAGUAACAUGGAACACGAGGAAUUCUGUGUGAAUCAGUGAGGACCAUAUCUCAUAAGGCUAAAUACUCUUACUAACCGAUAGCGCAUAGUACCGUGAGGGAAAGGUGAAAAGAACCCCUGGAGGGGAGUGAAAUAGAACCUGAAAUUGUGUGCUUACAAGCGGUCAGAGCCCAUUUGGGUGAUGGCGUGCCUUUUGGAGAAUGAUCCUGCGAGUUACGUUAAACGGCGAGGUUAAGUAUAACGGAGCCGAAGGGAAACCAAGUCUUAAUAGGGCGAUUUAGUCGUUUGGCGUAGACGCGAAACCUGGUGAUCUAAACCUGUCCAGGAUGAAGCUGUGGUAAGACACAGUGGAGGUCCUAACCCACCGCCGUUGAAAAGUUGGGGGAUGAGGUAGGUUUAGGGGUGAAAAGCCAAUCGAACCAGGAGAUAGCUCGUUCUCUCCGAAAUGCAUCUAGGUGCAGCCUUGAGUGUUCAAUUAUGGGGGUAGAGCACUGAAUGAUCUAGGGGGCAUAUUGCUUACUGAAAUCAAUCAAACUCCGAAUACCAUAAUUUAUAGCUCAGGAGUGAGACUAUGGGAGUUAACUUCCAUUGUCAAAAGGGAAACAACCCAGACCACCAGCUAAGGUCCCUAAUUAUAACUAAGUGGGAAAGGAGGUGGAGAUUCACAAACAACUAGGAGGUUGGCUUAGAAGCAGCCAUACCUUUAAAGAGUGCGUAAUAGCUCACUAGUCGAGAGUCUCUGCGCCGACAAUGUAACGGGGCUAAGUUAUAAACCGAAGCUGUGGAAUCCUUUUGGAUUGGUAGGAGAGCGUUCUGUAGGCCGUUGAAGAAGAAGGGUAACCGACUUUGGAGGUAUCAGAAGUGAGAAUGCAGGAAUAAGUAGCGAGAAAGGGGGCGAGAAUCCCCCUCGCCGGAAGACCAAGGUUUUCAGGGUAAAGCUUGUCUUCCCUGAGUAAGCCGGGACCUAAGCCCAGGCUAUAAUGCGUAGGCGAAUGGAAAACAGAUUAAUAUUUCUGUGCCAGUCAUUUAUUGUGAUGGAGGGACGCAGAAGGGUAUGCGCGCGGACGAUCGGUUGUGUCCGUAGAAGUAUGUAGGAUGACUUAGUAGGUAAAUCCAUUAAGUUAUAUCUGAGGUAUGAUAUACAGUCGUAAGAUGAAUGCGCAAAUCCCACGCUGCCAAGAAAAGCUUCUAACGUUAAUAUAUGACUGCCCGUACUGUAAACCGACACAGGUGGUCAGGAUGAGAAAUCUAAGGCGGACAGGCUAACUCUCGUUAAGGAACUCUGCAAAAUAACCUCGUAACUUCGGGAGAAGAGGAGCCCUUGGGUGUUAGUAUCCAUGCGAUACAAAGCGCUCGAGGGUCGCAGUGAAGAGGCUCAAGCAACUGUUUAACAAAAACACAGGUCUAUGCUAAGCUGGAAGGCGAUGUAUAUGGGCUGACACCUGCCCAGUGCUGGAAGGUUAAGAGGAGGAGUGAGAGCUCCGAAUUGAAGCCCCAGUGAACGGCGGCCGUAACUAUAACGGUCCUAAGGUAGCGAAAUUCCUUGUCGGGUAA